This 465-nucleotide ribosomal RNA is filed under the name uncultured bacterium. Its description in RNAcentral is "partial 16S ribosomal RNA". It matches the Rfam family "Bacterial small subunit ribosomal RNA", at positions 28 to 507 of the family's 1533-position model. The record is from RNAcentral.
GACGAACGCUGGCGGCGUGCUUAACACAUGCAAGUCGAACGGAAAGGCCCCUUUGGGGGUACUCGAGUGGUGAACGGGUGAGUAACACGUGAGUAACCUGCCCUUGACUUCGGGAUAACUUCAGGAAACUGGGGCUAAUACCGGAUAGGAAUCCUUGCUGCAUGGUGGGGGUUGGAAAGCUUCGGCGGUUUUGGAUGGAUUCGCGGCUUAUCAGCUUGUUGGUGGGGUAGUGGCUUACCAAGGCGUUGUCGGGUAGCCGGCCUGCGAGGGCGACCGGCGACAUUGGGACUUAGAGACGGCCCAGACUCCUACGGGAGGCAGCAGUGGGGAAUAUUGCACAAUGGGCGGAAGCCUGAUGCAGCAACGCCGCGUGCGGGAUGACUGCCUUCGGGUUGUAAACCGCUUUCAGCAGGGGCGAAGCUUGUGUUGACGGUACCUGCAGAAGAAGCACCGGCUAACUACGUG